GAUUAAAUAUGAACGAUAUUGGUCACUUCUGGUGAGAAUAUAGAAGAGAAAAAGAAUAAGGAGAUCGAUCGACUAGUUGUUAGACUAAAACUUUCAUUGUUAUUUAUGGCUAAUUAGCAACAUUAAUAAUAGUGUAAAUUACUUGGAAAUAUUUUCUUUACUUUGAUGAAUUAAUCCACACCCAUAUCAAUAUAUAUUCUGCAUGCAUUCAUAAACACUAGGGUUUUCCACUGUUCUUUUUCUCUUACAGCUUCUUUCUAAGCUUGAAGAACACGGGUAUAUCAUAUAUGUUCUAGAAUAUCAAAUGAUGUGUUAUGAUCAAAUUCAAUGGUGUAGAAGAAGAGAUGAUGGGGGUGAUGCAGACAAUAAUACGCGGAUGAUAUGUUGGUCAAACACAUGGACUGGAAUAAGAAAAGAGAGAAGGAUAAGAAUCACGUGGCGGCCCAGCGAGGGGUCCAUUUGGAUCAGAGAGGAUUCGCUUUACUAGCUCACUCCCCUCCAUCUUAACCUAAAAGUUGCUUUUGACUUUCC
Molecule: long non-coding RNA, 531 nt
Filed under: Vitis vinifera (wine grape)
Lineage: Eukaryota; Viridiplantae; Streptophyta; Magnoliopsida; Vitales; Vitaceae
Description: long non-coding RNA (VVIN_LNC008070)
Source: RNAcentral